CUGUUGACGGUACUGUAUGAAUAAGGAUCGGCUAACUCCGUGCCAGCAGCCGCGGUAAUACGGAGGAUCCGAGCGUUAUCCGGAAUUAUUGGGUUUAAAGGGUCCGUAGGCGGGAUAAUAAGUCAGUGGUGAAAGUUUGUGGCUCAACCAUAAAAUUGCCAUUGAUACUGUUAUUCUUGAGUAAUUGUGAAGUGGUUAGAAUGUGUAGUGUAGCGGUGAAAUGCAUAGAUAUUACACAGAAUACCAAUUGCGAAGGCAGAUCACUAACAAUUAACUGACGCUGAUGGACGAAAGCGUAGGUAGCGAACAGGAUUAGAUACCCUGGUAGUCUACGCAGUAAACGAUGGUUACUAGCUGUUUGGCCGCCUUAGGCGGCUAAGUGGCCAAGCGAAAGUGAUAAGUAACCCACCUAGGGAGUACGUUCGCAAGAAUGAAACUCAAAGGAAUUGACGGGGGCCCGCACAAGCGGUGGAGCAUGUGGUUUAAUUCGAUGAUACGCGAGGAACCUUACCAGGGCUUAAAUGCAGUUUGACAGGAGUGGAAACAUUCUUUUCUUCGGACAGAUUGCAAGGUGCUGCAUGGUUGUCGUCAGCUCGUGCCGUGAGGUGUCAGGUUAAGUCCUAUAACGAGCGCAACCCCUAUGGUUAGUUGCUAGCAGGUCAUGCUGAGAACUCUAGCCAGACUGCCGGUGUAAACCGUGAGGAAGGUGGGGAUGACGUCAAAUCAUCACGGCCCUUACGUCCUGGGCUACACACGUGCUACAAUGGUAUGUACAAUGAGCAGCCACUACGCGAGUAGGCGCAAAUCUCAAAAGCAUAUCACAGUUCGGAUCGGAGUCUGCAACUCGACUCCG
This 853-nucleotide ribosomal RNA is filed under the name uncultured organism. RNAcentral's name for it is "bacterial SSU rRNA". It matches the Rfam family "Bacterial small subunit ribosomal RNA", at positions 466 to 1320 of the family's 1533-position model. The record is from RNAcentral.